Molecule: ribosomal RNA, 111 nt
Filed under: Caerostris extrusa
Lineage: Eukaryota; Metazoa; Arthropoda; Arachnida; Araneae; Araneidae
Source: RNAcentral
AACGGCCAUACCAUGCUGAAUAUACCGGUUCUCGUUAGAUCACCGAAGUCAAGCAUCAUUGGGCGCGGUCAGUACUGGGUGGGUGACCACCUGGGAACACCGCGUGCCGUU